Molecule: RNA transcript, 872 nt
Organism: Andrographis paniculata
Lineage: Eukaryota; Viridiplantae; Streptophyta; Magnoliopsida; Lamiales; Acanthaceae
Gene name: protein MODIFYING WALL LIGNIN-2-like
Exons: 3
Source: RefSeq, a predicted model, not a curated record
UACCAAAUUCCACUUAUGUAUAUCUCAAUUGCUCAAAAUUUGACCAAACUCAAAGUCAUAUUCUCCAAAUCCACUCCAAGAAUGAAUCAAAUACCAAUUAUUCUUCUCCUUACCAUGUAAGAAAACUACACCCAUUAUUCUUGCAAGAAUUCUUUCUUUCUUUUUUCAUUUCUUCCCAAAAAAAUUAAAAUAAAUAAAUAAAUAAAUAAUCUACCUAUACUUCUCCAAAACCAUCACCCAAAAAUCACUUAUGCAAACCCUCAAAACCCACCAUGGUUUUCUAAUCUUCUCUACCAUCGUCGUCGCCGGAGCCGUCGCCUUUUUCUCCCUAUGCCUCGCCGCCGAAUUCAAGAAGUCAAAGAAUAGUGAUGUGAUUGUGAAAGGAAGACAAUGUUAUGUGCCCAAAAGUGCAUCUUUUGGAUUAGGGAUUGGAGCUUUGGUGUGUCUUUGUGUUGCUCACUUUGUAGGAAAUUUUUUCAUCUUCAUAAAAUUUAGGACAAAAGUUAUCGGCGGCGGCGGCGGCAACUGCUACGGUGCAGUUCGAAAGCCUACAGUUUCAUGCAUUUUGAUCCUUCUAUCUUGAAGGGUGUUGUUCGUGGGUGGUGGAGUCCUAAUCGGCGCAGCCAGCAGCAUGAGCCAAGCCCAGCCGUUGGGAGAAGGUUGGGUAGAUGGAGACUGUUACGUGGUCAAGAAGGGAGUGUAUGCUUCAUCAGCCGUUCUCGGCUUGCUGGCUCUCGGCUCAACACUCGGCUCGGCUGCCAUUACUUUAAGCCAAAGCCAAAAACCAAAGCCAAGUGGAAGAAAAUAGAAAAGUCCAUGAUCGGUCAUUAAUCUUGUCCCAAAAACCAUAAAAACACAUACAUACAUACAUA